Triticum aestivum (bread wheat) is the source of this 2978-nucleotide long non-coding RNA. RefSeq lists it as uncharacterized. The record is from RefSeq and is a predicted model, not a curated record. The transcript has 3 exons. NCBI's taxonomy places the organism in Eukaryota, Viridiplantae, Streptophyta, Magnoliopsida, Poales, Poaceae.
CCCACCCGAUCCACUCCCACCGCACCAAACUCUCUCUCUCAAAGAAAAAAACCUCUCUCUCGUGAAACUCACCCCCACCCUCGGUCCAGCUCCUCUCCCCCACUAUCUCCUCGCCGCCGCCGCCGCCCAUGUCGGCCGGUUCCGGCGAGCUCCGGCCGCGCGCAACACGCCCCCAAGCUCUGCCCCUCUCCCCCCUUCCAGAUCCGCGCCUCAAGGGUUGCGCCCUCGCCCGCCGCUAGGGUUUCGGGCGCCUCCCGUCUUCUUGCCGGAAUCCACCACAAUCGGCGAUGGCGAGGCCGGAGCUUGCGAGAUCCGUCUCCGGCGUUGCCCAGGUCACCAUGGUGCAGAGACGACAAUGAUGGCAAGAGGGCACAAACCUUGCCCUGAUCGAGGAGGAGAAGGAGGGGCGCACCUAGCCGCCAGCCCUGCUCUGCUCGAGGAGGAGGGGCGGGAGGGGUCUGCUCCUAGGGCGACCAAGAGGUCCUGCCCGAGCUCAAGCAUGGCCAUGAUGACCCACCACGGCAGGUCUGAUAUCCUUGUGAUCUACUCCAGCAACUGUGUUGUUGGAGCACUGCCCUCAUGAUGGAAUGAUAUAGUGUUUUAUGUAGUUUUUGAUAUCUUAGCUCUGACGGUAACAUCAUAUCAGUUAGGAGUAGUGUUUAGGAACAAUUAGAAUAUGUUAUGGUCGUCUAAUAGAGAGAGAUUCAAGGGCCUUCCCAGUUUGGACAAUCAAAUGUGUUCACAAAUGACAUCCACGUUGGUUAUACUAGGUCCUAAUGGUGAUGCUACGGAUUUUAGUACAUUGGUUGAGACCCAAGUUGAUCUGUGCUAGUUCUAGGUUGUUUAUUUAUGAAAAAGUAUAUGUCUGAUAGACGUGAUUAAUUACUGUGUAGAAAAGUACCAAUGUUUCUUGUUCAGCGCACUGUUUCUCUGCUUCCCUACUGUCAAUGCCGAGCAACAGCUUCAUCUUUAUUUUCAUUCAUACUCGUGCGUGUUCUGUCAUGUGCAUAUGCUUACUUUGUGGUUACUGACAGGGAGUACACCUUUGGUUACCAAUCACUGCACAAUCGUCCCACAAUUUUUUUGCUUAAUGUUCAUUGCCCAACAGGCUACAACGCCCACACGCUGAGCCUUGUUUUGCCUACAACUUACUGCUGCGGUGCUGCAGGAACCAAGCUAAGCUCCAGCAGAACCUCAUGUACCUGUACAUGUAGUUCAAAAGAACUCUGAAAGAAGGUCUUGGGGUUUCGUUACCAUUUAUUUGGUGUGUGCCGUUUGGGUUUGUAUCUUGGGUCUUGGUUUUGUAGACCGUGCGUGCUUGUGUGUGUUUGUGUGUUUGUAUUUUUGGGUUUUAGUUUUUGGUUUUGGGAAGUUCGAUGUAUACACUGCUAGCUGCCCGUGGAGAUCAGCACUAAUGUUUAAAGGGAGUACAUUGUGCUACACAUUGCUGAUUUUGAAUGAUUGAUUUUUUCUGUGUUCCAUUCAUGUGCUUUCCUUUCGAACAUCCGAAUCCUGAUUUCUUCAAAUUUUGCCAAAUCUGAAUGUCUUAUCUCCAAAGAGACCGUCUGUUAAUGAAUUGUUUCUUAUUGUAGGCCCUAGGCAUUACAGAUAUGCAUAUAGAGAAUGUCAUUUUAGAUGUGCUCUGAGCAUUACACAGUUGCAUAGAAUCUUUUGUUUUAUUUCUUGUAUUUCCAUUUUUAUAUGCUGUACAGACAAAAGAUAGCAUAUGUUCCCUGAAAGUGAGUAAAUACGUACUGAUUAUUAGUGAAGUUAACCGAGAGCCUAUGACAUACAGAAAACAUGCAUGGGUUGAUUGGUUGAUGCGCCAUGGCCGUGGGUUGUCCUGGUGCAUGUGUUUGCUUAAGGUGGUGAUGCAUAUGCCUCAAGGUGGUGAGCAGAGCAACUUCUGCUGUAAGAAUUUUCUGAGGAUGCUUUUGAGUGUAGAAUAACAAAAAUUAUGUACGGAGUAAUUAUUUUAGCAUUACUAGAACUGUUAAUUCAUACUCCCUCUGUAGGGAGUAUUAUUUAUUUCUUUUGUAAGACGACCACUAGUUCUAAGUGAGCUAAUUUUUUUGAAUUUUUCGCCCAUUAUGAAGAUUGUGCACUAAUGAAUAAACAAUGUGCUCCCUUUAAACAUUGUAGAGUAAUUAAUAUGCAGCCAGAGUCAAGUAUGAUUUCACAAUCUUGAGUAAAGCAUUUGAAUUUAAGCGAGUAGAUAUUGAUCUUUGUGAUCGAAGUGUGUCCAUUUAAUACCUCUAAACUCAACUAUUUCAUUCAGAAUUAUGGUACUUAGUGUAGCAUUGUAGAUUUAUUUUUACACGAUCAGAUUACCUUUGGUAUAUGCAGCAUGCAGCCAAACUAUGCUAUAUAUCUACAGUAGUAAAUGUAUCAUCUUAAGAGUGUACUGAAGCUAUAUUAUUUCGUAGCUUGAAUUUAGGCUUUCUCCAUGGUUAAUAUAAGUUAUGUAAAGCAAUGUUUGCCUGGAAGUGUAACUGUAAUGCCAUUCUUAUUAUUCAAUGUACAGCGACGGUGCUGCUGCACUUGUGCUAGUCAGUGGGGAGUAAGCUAAGAACCUUGGCAUUCAAGUUCUUGCAAGGACCAGAGGGUAUGCUGACGCUGCUCAGGGGUGAUCGACAUGGACUACUGUGGCUUGGUGGGCGUGGUGCUCUUCAACCACUCGGAGGUGGACUUCAUCAUGAAGCCCGGCGACCGCGCUGCAUAGAUGAUCGUCCAGGUCAUUGCGACGCCGGAGGUCGCCGAGGUGGAGGACCUCGACGCCACCGUCCGGCGGGAGGGAGUGCUCGGAUCCACCGACGUUUGAACUCCAAGCCUUGGUAGAUACAUCUAGAGAAGUGGUCUAGUUGUUUGCAUCUGAUGUUAAAUUUGAUCUUGAGAUCUCGAGUUGAGAUGUUCAAUGCUGUAUCCAUGAAUGCUGCAAGUGCUAAGAUGGUUUUGGAACUUAGUUUAUUUGCACUGGA